CGAAUACGAGACGCUAAGGCGUCGAAGUAGUGUAUGUCAUACUUCCAAGAAAAGCUUGCACUGUCAUAAAUAAGAAAUGCCUGUACCAUAACCGACACAGGUGGGUAGGUAGAGUAUACUAAGGGGCGCGAGAUAACUCUCUCUAAGGAACUCGGCAAAAUGACUCCGUAACUUCGGGAGAAGGAGUGCCUUAUUUAUAAGGUUGCAAUAACAAGAUCCAAGCAACUGUUUAUCAAAAACACAGGUCUCCGCUAAGUCGUAAGGCGAUGUAUGGGGGCUGACGCCUGCCCAGUGCCAGAAGGUUAAAGAAGUUGGUUAGCAUUAGCGAAGCUGAUAACUGAAGCCCUGGUGAACGGCGGCCGUAACAAUAACGGUCCUAAGGUAGCGAAAUUCCUUGUCGGGUAAGUUCCGACCCGCACGAAAGGCGUAAUGAUUUGGAUACUGUCUCGGAGAGGGGCUCGGUGAAAUAGACUUGUCUGUGAAGAUGCGGACUACCUGCACCUGGACAGAAAGACCCUAUGAAGCUUUACUGUAACUUGAAAUUGAGAUUGGACUUUAGUCGCGCAGCAUAGGUGGGAGGCUUUGAUGAUGUUCUUGCGGGAACAUUGGAGCUAUCAGUGAGAUACCACUCUUCUAAUGUUAGAUUUCUAACUUUGAACCAUUAUCUGGUCAAAGGACAGUUUCAGGCGGGCAGUUUGACUGGGGCGGUCGCCUCCCAAAUGGUAACGGAGGCGUACAAAGGUUUCCUCUGAACGGAUAGAAAUCGUAUCUAGAGUGUAAAGGCAUAAGGAAGCUUGACUGUGAGACCUACAAGUCGAGCAGGGACGAAAGUCGGUCUUAGUGAUCUGACGGUACUGAGUGGAAAGGCCGUCACUCAACGGAUAAAAGUUACUCUAGGAUAACAGGCUGAUCUCCCCCAAGAGUUCACAUCGACGGGGAGGUUUGGCACCUCGAUGUCGGCUCAUCGCAUCCUGGGGCGGUAGUACGUCCCAAGGGUUUGGCUGUUCGCCCAUGAAAGCGGUACGCGAGCUGGGUUCAGAACGUCGUGAGACAGUUCGGUCCAUAUCCGGUGUAGGCGUUAGAAUAUUGAGAGGAGCCUUCUUUAGUACGAGAGGGCCGAGAAGGACAUACCUCUGGUGUACCAGUUAUCGUGCCAACGGUAAACGCUGGGUAGCUAUGUAUGGAGUGGAUAACCGCUGAAAGCAUCUAAGUGGGAAGCCCACCUCAAGAUGAGUAUUCUCA
This 1242-nucleotide ribosomal RNA is filed under the name metagenome. RNAcentral describes it as "bacterial LSU rRNA". It matches the Rfam family "Bacterial large subunit ribosomal RNA", at positions 1564 to 2816 of the family's 2925-position model. The record is from RNAcentral.